UGGCGAACGGGUGAGUAGUACGUGAGUAACCUGCCCCUACUUUGGGAUAAGCCUUGGAAACGGGGUCUAAUACUGGAUAUUCCUGGUCUGCCGCAUGGUGGGUGGGAAAGUUUUUCGGUGGGGGAUGGGCUCGCGGCCUAUCAGCUUGUUGGUGGGGUGAUGGCCUACCAAGGCGUCGACGGGUAGCCGGCCUGAGAGGGUGACCGGCCACACUGGGACUGAGACACGGCCCAGACUCCUACGGGAGGCAGCAGGUGGGGGAUAUUACACAAUGGGCGCAAGCCUGAUGCAGCGACGCCGCGUGAGGGAUGACGGCUUUCGGGUUGUAAACCUCUUUCGCUACCGAACAAGGCUCCAUAUUGGUGGGGUUGAGGGUAGGUGGAUAAGAAGCGCCGGCUAACUACGUG
This 407-nucleotide ribosomal RNA is filed under the name uncultured bacterium. RNAcentral's name for it is "bacterial SSU rRNA". It matches the Rfam family "Bacterial small subunit ribosomal RNA", at positions 96 to 507 of the family's 1533-position model. The record is from RNAcentral.